GUAUGGUGCAAGCGUUAUCCGGAUUUACUGGGUGUAAAGGGAGCGCAGGCGGUGCGGCAAGUCUGAUGUGAAAGCCCGGGGCUCAACCCCGGUACUGCAUUGGAAACUGUCGUACUAGAGUGUCGGAGGGGUAAGCGGAAUUCCUAGUGUAGCGGUGAAAUGCGUAGAUAUUAGGAGGAACACCAGUGGCGAAGGCGGCUUACUGGACGAUAACUGACGCUGAAGCUCGAAAGUGCGGGUAUCGAACAGGAUUAGAUACCCUGGUAGUCCGCACGGUAAACGAUGGAUGCCCGCUGUUGGUCUGAACAGGUCAGCGGCCAAGCGAAAGCAUUAAGCAUCCCACCUGGGGAGU
This 352-nucleotide ribosomal RNA is filed under the name uncultured bacterium. RNAcentral's name for it is "bacterial SSU rRNA". It matches the Rfam family "Bacterial small subunit ribosomal RNA", at positions 527 to 881 of the family's 1533-position model. The record is from RNAcentral.